CCUACGGGUGGCUGCAGUGGGGAAUAUUGGACAAUGGGGGCAACCCUGAUCCAGCCAUGCCGCGUGUGUGAAGAAGGCCCUCGGGUUGUAAAGCACUUUCAGUGAGGAAGAACGCCUGGUGGUUAAUACCCAUCAGGAAAGACAUCACUCACAGAAGAAGCACCGGCUAACUCCGUGCCAGCAGCCGCGGUAAUACGGAGGGUGCGAGCGUUAAUCGGAAUUACUGGGCGUAAAGCGCGCGUAGGUGGCUUGAUAAGCCGGUUGUGAAAGCCCCGGGCUCAACCUGGGAACGGCAUCCGGAACUGUCAAGCUAGAGUGCAGGAGAGGAAGGUAGAAUUCCCGGUGUAGCGGUGAAAUGCGUAGAGAUCGGGAGGAAUACCCGUGGCGAAGGCGGCCUUCUGGACUGACACUGACACUGAGGUGCGAAAGCGUGGGUAGCAAACAGGAUUAGAUACCCGUGUAGUC
RNAcentral lists this ribosomal RNA (465 nucleotides) under Vreelandella stevensii. RNAcentral describes it as "partial 16S ribosomal RNA". It matches the Rfam family "Bacterial small subunit ribosomal RNA", at positions 338 to 795 of the family's 1533-position model. Lineage: Bacteria; Pseudomonadati; Pseudomonadota; Gammaproteobacteria; Oceanospirillales; Halomonadaceae. The record is from RNAcentral.